RNAcentral lists this ribosomal RNA (253 nucleotides) under uncultured bacterium. RNAcentral describes it as "partial 16S ribosomal RNA". It matches the Rfam family "Bacterial small subunit ribosomal RNA", at positions 524 to 776 of the family's 1533-position model. The record is from RNAcentral.
UACGUAGGGUGCGAGCGUUAAUCGGAAUUACUGGGCGUAAAGCGUGCGCAGGCGGUUAUGUAAGACAGUUGUGAAAUCCCCGGGCUCAACCUGGGAAUUGCAUCUGUGACUGCAUAGCUAGAGUACGGUAGAGGGGGAUGGAAUUCCGCGUGUAGCAGUGAAAUGCGUAGAUAUGCGGAGGAACACCGAUGGCGAAGGCAGCCUCCUGGGCCAGCACUGACGCUCAUGCACGAAAGCGUGGGGAGCAAACAGG